AGGAGCAACAACGGGCUUUUCGGCACAACACCGGAAACUCACUGGUAGCGCAGUAACUUUGCUGGUGCAUGCAGGCAAUCAGGCAAAGCUGCCCCUGAACAAUGAAAACAUGCAUGUUAGCUGGCUAAAUAGCUAUACAAUGUUAUAUUUGAUAAAGUAAAAUCAUAUUAACUUCUCAAAUAAGUUAUUAAGCAAGCUAGCUAAAUGUUCUAGCUUGCCAACAAUACAAAAAAACUCAGUCAGCUGGUGCUAAUUGCAAUCUAGCUGUAGCAUUGCGUAUAGCUAACGUUAGCUAGCUAGACCAACCAAGUUUAGCUAAACAUCUUGCCUCCAUGAAUGUUAUUGAUAUUCACGGACUUGGAUACCAUUAAAUCUGCUCCCAUCACGAUUAAAAGAAGCCCCAGGAUGGUGUGUGAGCUGCUAGUCUCCUCACUAUGGUUCCUUUUUGUAAUAUUUUGGGUGGAGACCAUAAGCGUGUGGCUGUUCCUAUGUAUCUUCUACCAGGACCAGGCAUUUUAUCACUGGGGAGAUGGGGUAUUUGCAGAUGACCCUGGCCAAAUGCUGUACAUGUUGAGCAGAGUGGAUCCCUCUGGACAGAUGCAGACCUGAGAUAGGGAAAGAAUGAGGAACAGCACAUCAUGGAUUGUUGGAUGGAUCUCAUGGAUCUCUCCAGAUAUAAAAUGAUAGGAGCUGUAUGUUUGAGCCACUCCUAUAAAAUAAUGAGAACAAGUAGUUGUUUUCUACCUCCCUGCUACUGGUUCCCUCUUAGAUUUAGCGCAUGGUCUUUGUCAACAUGAACAAACUGCAUUGAAUGCAGUUGGAUUGUUGUUGGAUAUGGGUAGAGACACCCAGCUUGGCAGGAAGAACCAGGAAGGGGGUCCUGCAGUAACUGGAAUUGAUGCAUAGUGAGGCUGCUAAGUGUUCCCCACCAAAGCAUGAACCAUCAUACAUAUGUUCUAUUUCUAUUGUCUGUGUUAAUAUGUGAUAGGUCAAACAAUGUGAAAAACACUUGGCAGAUGCUUUGAAAAAAUAUUUUUAACUGAGGUUUAGUCCAUAGUCAAUGUCAUUUUUGUGGAUUUCAGCAGACUUGCGCAUUUUCAUGGUUGUACACCUUUGUUUGUUUUCACAAAUCUGUCUAUAUACAUAAUCUGCUUCAAUCUGGGCACUUACAUGACAGUGUCACUGGAUUGUUUUGUUAUGUAAAACACUAACAUUAUUGACAUGACACACAUAUUUAAUGAAAAGCUUUACUCUUGGAAAUGUUACAACAUGAAAAUAUAAUUUGCACUCAUCAGUGUUUUCUAAUUUGCUCUCAAACUAAAAUGUUGAAUGUAGCUUUUUUGAUGAAGACCAUAGAUCUGGGUUUUCUUGUUUUUUGUUGCUGUUGUAAAGCUCACACCUCAAUAAUAAUGUCAUGAAUGCUCUAAUAGCAAAUGAGGAAAAUUAUUAGAAUCCAUAGAUUAAUUCCACAUUUAGAUUUGUAUCUGUUCAUAACAUGUAAAUUGUCUUAAUUGAACGAUUGUCCUUCUGUAAUGUCAGGCAUAGCCUAACACAAGUAUUGUCUUUAAUGUCGACUUCUUGUUUAGGAAAGUGACAUGUCAGGUGUUAAACUGGGCAGUGACAUCAAUGGUACGUUUGUUUUUAUUUCUUUGCAUCCGAAGACAGAAUAAAUUCUAACAUUUCCCAA
This is a long non-coding RNA of Salmo salar (Atlantic salmon), 1687 nucleotides long. RefSeq lists it as uncharacterized. Lineage: Eukaryota; Metazoa; Chordata; Actinopteri; Salmoniformes; Salmonidae. The record is from RefSeq and is a predicted model, not a curated record.